CCCAAACCAAAGUGCUUGCACUUUGGGGUUGUAGGACUGACAUUGUGGAGUUACAAAGUUAACAUUUAGCAGAAUCAGCUGGGAAGCUGAGCGAGACAGGGUGAUAGCCCCGUAUGCGAAAAGUGUUAACCUCCCGUCAGAAUCCUGAGUACGGCCGGACACGUGAAAUCCGGUCGGAAUCCGCGAGGACCAUCUCGCAAGGCUAAAUACUCCCUAGUGACCGAUAGUGAACCAGUACCGUGAGGGAAAGGUGAAAAGCACCCCGGAA
This 268-nucleotide ribosomal RNA is filed under the name Weissella confusa. Its description in RNAcentral is "partial 23S ribosomal RNA". It matches the Rfam family "Bacterial large subunit ribosomal RNA", at positions 268 to 531 of the family's 2925-position model. The record is from RNAcentral. Lineage: Bacteria; Bacillati; Bacillota; Bacilli; Lactobacillales; Lactobacillaceae.